Molecule: transfer RNA, 73 nt
Filed under: Stegodyphus mimosarum
Lineage: Eukaryota; Metazoa; Arthropoda; Arachnida; Araneae; Eresidae
Rfam family: tRNA
About the family: Transfer RNA (tRNA) molecules are approximately 80 nucleotides in length. Their secondary structure includes four short double-helical elements and three loops (D, anti-codon, and T loops).
Source: Rfam by way of RNAcentral
GCCUUCGUGAUGUAGUGGUCAGCACGCUGGGCACGUACUGUAGAGGUCCGUGGUUCGAAUCCCGGCGAAGGCG